AAAAGAAAACACAAACACACAACAAACAUAAAACAUGAAGAAGAUAAGAAAUAACAUCAAUUUUCGUCAUCCCAUCUAGAUCCCUGUCCCCUCAUGGUCUUCUUCAUCUUCUUUAGUUUCUCAGCAUGCUUAGUCUCCAUGUUUGUAACUUCCACCGCCUGUGACCAUUUCAGGUCACUAAUUUCGUUUGAAAGCUUGCUAAUCACCUCGGCAGCACGGCUUUCAUGACGGUCCUCUAGCCAAAAUAUGUAGCCGCAACCAUUGGGUCCGUCAGGACAUUGCAUCAUCCGCCUCCCAGCGUCGGGACCGUUGUCUCGCCAAACUCUACUAACUACGACUUUGUCACAAUAGCACUUCUCUAAAGCAACAGGCUCCAUAAGUUUUAAAAUUUUUUUUAGUUGUGGAUACAAGUGAGGUGUGGAGCCAGUUAUUUAUAGAUGAAAAUAAUGAACAUCGUGACAACAACUUUAAUGUAGCCAUACAUAACUUAUUAAACUAAAUAGGGAAAACAACAAUAAUUGCACAUUGGUGAAUCUAGCAUUUCCUGCUUGAAGAACCCUCCCCCUUAUUUUUUCCCUUGAGGCGUUCAAAUUCUUCGUCAUGCUUCUCUCUAAUCUUUUCCUUUGUAAAAUAAUGCUCCCAUAUAAGAUCACUCAUCUCCUUAGUCAUCUCAGUUAGCACAGCCGCUGAACGUGGUUCAAGUGGAUCAUCAAUCCAAAACAUAUAACCGCACCCGUCCGGCCAGAAUGGACACCGUGACAUCUUUCUUCCAGCGUUUGGCCCAGUCCCUGGAUAUGUACUAUGAACAGCAAGCUUUUCACAGUAGCAUGUAUCCCCUUCAAUAACCGCAUUUACUCUCUCCAUGUAAUUAAGUUUUUGUUUUGAGAUGUAUAAACGAGCUUUCCACUAUUUAUAACCAAU
Molecule: long non-coding RNA, 921 nt
Filed under: Daucus carota (carrot)
Lineage: Eukaryota; Viridiplantae; Streptophyta; Magnoliopsida; Apiales; Apiaceae
Description: long non-coding RNA (DCAR_LNC000245)
Source: RNAcentral